This 377-nucleotide ribosomal RNA is filed under the name uncultured eukaryote. Its description in RNAcentral is "partial 18S ribosomal RNA". It matches the Rfam family "Eukaryotic small subunit ribosomal RNA", at positions 592 to 976 of the family's 1831-position model. The record is from RNAcentral.
CAAUAGCGUAUAUUUAAGUUGCUGCAGUUAAAAAGCUCGUAGUUGGAUUUCGGGUGGGAAUGGCCGGUCCGCCGUUUCGGUGUGCACUUGCUACGCCCACCUUGCUGCCGGGGACGUGCUCUUGAGUUCACGCUCGGGACACGGAGUCGGCGAGGUUACUUUGAGUAAAUUAGAGUGUUCAAAGCAGGCCUACGCUCUGAAUACAUUAGCAUGGAAUAACACGAUAGGACUCUGGCCUAUCUUGUUGGUCUGUAGGACCGGAGUAAUGAUUAAAAGGGACAGUCGGGGGCAUUCGUAUUUCAUUGUCAGAGGUGAAAUUCUUGGAUUUAUGAAAGACGAACUACUGCGAAAGCAUUUGCCAAGGAUGUUUUCAUUAA